AGUCGCAAUGCUUUCAUCUUUGAGCCAUCUCUCACUGGGCCUUUCAAGUCUGGGUCAUCCAGCGUUAGCUUUGCCAUAAAGCAAUGGCGUUUUUUUUUAUGGGAUAUAUUUUAUCACUUGUUAACGGUUUAUAAACGUCGAGCUGUCUGGGUCCUCUAGCUGUGCUGGAGGGAGGAAGGCAGUAGCUGAGGUAUGAGAGAUGCCAAGAAAGCAGUGAGAUCAUUCUCUCCAUCCACACGCCAUGUGGGAAAGUAGGGGAAAAUUAUCCGCAUCAAAACAUUCCGCUCCAUCCAUCGUUCUGGAGGAGGAGAUGAGACAAAAGAGGGAUCGGAGAGAGAGAGAGAAGAUCUGGCGUAUCCAUGGUGAUGGUUUUGUCGAGCAAAAAAGACCCUGUGAAAAAAUCUACAAGCGUCACCAGCUGUCCAGACUUGACAGACUACCCAUUCCCACAUCAGUCGCAACCAACAAUGGAAAGUAGAAUGAACAGCUUCAACAUUCUUCAGACAUCCUAUAAUGUUUGGAUUACAUUUGUAUGUCAUACUCCACUCGCAAUGAUCUGGGCAAAGUCAAACGAGCAUAACAAUUGUAAGAGCGACUAGCCAGGUUAGAGAGGUAAGCACCAAACAGGCGGGAAGGAAGAGCAAGGGAGGCAGACAAUGGCUAAAGCUGGGAAUGAACUCAAUAUACUAUUAAUUACUAAAAACAAAUCAAAACUGUGGAGAAAUGAUAACGGACCUACAUUCAUACAGUAUAUUUACUGUGGUCAGAUUGCUAAUAAUCACCCAAAUGAAAGCUAGACAGUCAGAGAGCAUUGGCAAUUCUAAAAACGAUGGAUAGAGGACAAUUGUUGAUGGCGGACCUCGUUGAAGACCGAAUGCGGGGCAAAACUAGUUUGAGGUCCCAGGCAACAGUGUUUUAACGGAGUGGGUCGGGGGGAAUUGGACAACACCUCCUGACAUUUCAAAAGGGGCAGGAUCAAAGGAGACAAGAGGGCCCAGCCAUGUGUGAAAGGGAGAUGGGUGGCCAAACGGAGAAAGGUGCUUCCAAGAAUUGGGGAUCCAUGUUCCCAGGACUUUUCUUCUCUGUUUUCUCUUCCCAUUUGUCCGGACUGGAGUGAAAUGGUGGCAGUUUGAUUUCCACAGAAAGUGUUGUUAUACAAGGAAGUAAAAGAGGUUUGUGAAGCCUUUCAGUUGUUAGUCAUGCAAGUGGACAGACAUUCAUUAUUGGGUGCUAAUCCUUAUGUCAGUUGAUUAAAACAAUUUUUUUACCCAUACAACUGAGGCUUCACCUGUAAUUCAUUUAAAGAUGCAUGCAUUUCUUCGGAGAAUGGAAUGAGUCAGUGACUCAGUGUGUCCAAUUGUUGGACGUAUUUUUGG
Oncorhynchus kisutch (coho salmon) is the source of this 1376-nucleotide long non-coding RNA. RefSeq lists it as uncharacterized. The transcript has 3 exons. The record is from RefSeq and is a predicted model, not a curated record. Lineage: Eukaryota; Metazoa; Chordata; Actinopteri; Salmoniformes; Salmonidae.